CCUACGGGUGGCAGCAGUCGAGAAUCAUUCACAAUGGGGGAAACCCUGAUGGUGCGACGCCGCGUGGGGGAAUGAAGGUCUUCGGAUUGUAAACCCCUGUCAUGUGGGAGCAAAUUAAAAAGAUAGUACCACAAGAGGAAGAGACGGCUAACUCUGUGCAGGAGCCGCGGUAAUUCAGAGGUCUCAAGCGUUGUUCGGAAUCACUGGGCGUAAAGCGGGCGGAGGCUGGUUUGUAAGUCGGGUGUGAAAGGCGCGGGCUCAACCCGCGGACGGCACAUGAUACUGCGAGACUAGAGUAAUGGAGGGGGAACCGGAAUUCUCGGUGUAGCAGUGAAAUGCGUAGAUAUCGAGAGGAACACUCGUUGCGAAGGCGGGUUCCUGGACAUUAACUGACGCUGAGGCACGAAGGCCAGGGGAGCGAAAGGGAUUAGAUACCCUAGUAGUC
Molecule: ribosomal RNA, 445 nt
Filed under: uncultured bacterium
Lineage: Bacteria
Description: partial 16S ribosomal RNA
Rfam family: Bacterial small subunit ribosomal RNA
Source: RNAcentral